CAUCAAUCUGCGUAUAAAUAACACGACUUUACACUUUCAAAUUGCGUGUAAUACAUACGCCAAAAUCCAAUUUUGCGUGCAUAUGAUACGCCAAACCUUCCCAUUAACUUCAGUGGAGAGCAGAUGCGUCCGAAUACCACGCAGCAUCUUCAGCAGCAGUGACGUCACCAGCGAGGCUCGGUCACGGCCCGGUUCGCCCGGUUCACCUGAUGCGCGUGCACCUUCAAACAGUUAACGCCAGAUCACAUACUCCAGCAGCUCUUUUAAGAAGCCAUCUCUCUCUCUCUCUGUCUCUCUCUCUCUCAGCUUUUCCGUUCCUAUUUUGCUGAUCUUGAAGAAGCUGCCAAGAAGGCUGAACAAGUUCUUCAAAGAUUCAACCCUUCACAGCUGAAAGGGAAGACCAAAGGAAGGCCUGUCAUGGGAUUUGAAUUUGAACAUCUUGUGUGUUACGGAGAAGACCAAAAGCUGCAAAGACAAAUACUUCCAAUGCUAAAGACCAAAAACGCAAAGAAAAUCAGUCACAGCAAGCCGGUCAAACCAGUCCUGUUGGGGAUGAGGAAUGAACAUGGCCUGCACUUGUGCCCAAACAGAAAAGAAAAGUUGCACAUUUCCACUGCUCCUAGAAUGAGCAAAUCAGCUGUGCAUCAUCUCUGGGAUUUGGGCAGGAAAUGACUGAAUAUGGAGGAUGAAGCCAGUUGAUGAAGAUAUCAAUUCAGUGGCCACCAAGUGAAGCACUGCUGCCUGAACCCAUCAGAUAUCUGCUGUGAAGACUGCGUUCACGAACAGCUCUACUGCGACAGCUCAGAUGUUACGGGCCAUAAAAGAAACUUCACAACUGAACAACUGGAAGAUAAGAGGAGGGAUUCAUUUAGGCCAUAACUCAAUCAAGAAUCAAUGGACAUCAAGACCAGGUGGUGUGUGAGGAAAGCACAGAGGACUGUCAGAGACUCCAGCCACCCGAGCCAUGGAUUGCUCUCACCGUUACCAUCAAGCAGAUGUUAUCGCAGAACCUUCACCAGCAGACUGCAAGACAAGUUCUUUCCACAGACAAUCAGACUGAACUGAACUCGUACCAGCAACACCACACACAGCACACCAACCUCUUAUGUACUGCACUCUAUCACUUACACUGACUGGACUCUGACUCACUAUUAUUCUGCACCGUGACAUUCUGUUUGCACUAAUUCAUGCCGUACUGCACUGCAAAGAUAUAUAUGUACUGUGAUUAUUGUUUAUUAUUGUUUUCAUUUCAUGCUCUCUGUAUAGAAUAAUAUUUACCAUAUAUUGUUCUCUUUAUGUAUUGAGUUCUUAUAUAUAUAUUUGUGUUGCAUAUAUAUAUUCAAUACAUGUCAUCCAUAAUGUCAUGCUGCAGUUUGCACAGAAGACUUUCACCACCUGUACACUUGCGUUCAUGGUAUUGUGACAAUAAAGUGAUUUGAUUUGG
Long non-coding RNA from Onychostoma macrolepis, 1444 nucleotides. RefSeq lists it as uncharacterized. NCBI's taxonomy places the organism in Eukaryota, Metazoa, Chordata, Actinopteri, Cypriniformes, Cyprinidae. The transcript has 7 exons. The record is from RefSeq and is a predicted model, not a curated record.